GAGGGUAUAGCUCAGUGGUAGAGCACGUGCUUGGCUUGCAUGAGGUCUUGGGCUCAAUCCCCAGCACCUCCA
Molecule: transfer RNA, 72 nt
Organism: Camelus ferus (Wild Bactrian camel)
Lineage: Eukaryota; Metazoa; Chordata; Mammalia; Artiodactyla; Camelidae
Rfam family: tRNA
About the family: Transfer RNA (tRNA) molecules are approximately 80 nucleotides in length.
Source: Rfam